AUGCUAGGAAACCUAGGUGAAAAACCUGGGGUGCCCUGCGAAGGGAACCCCUAGCACAGGUGCUGCAUGGCCGUCGUCAGCUCGUGUCGUGAGAUGUUGGGUUAAGUCCCGCAACGAGCGCAACCCCUGCCGUUAGUUGCCAGCGGGUGAGGCCGGGCACUCUAACGGGACUGCCUGCGAAAGCAGGAGGAAGGCGGGGACGACGUCUGGUCAUCAUGGCCCUUACGGCCUGGGCGACACACGUGCUACAAUGCCCACUACAGAGCGAGGCGACCUGGCAACAGGGAGCGAAUCGCAAAAAGGUGGGCGUAGUUCGGAUUGGGGUCUGCAACCCGACCCCAUGAAGCCGGAAUCGCUAGUAAUCGCGGAUCAGCCAUGCCGCGGUGAAUACGUUCCCGGGCCUUGUACACACCGCCCGUCACGCCAUGGGAGCGGGUUCUACCCGAAGUCGCCGGGAGCCUUAGGGCAGGCGCCGAGGGUAGGGCCCGUGACUGGGGCGAAGUCGUAACAAGGUAA
This 516-nucleotide ribosomal RNA is filed under the name uncultured bacterium. RNAcentral describes it as "bacterial SSU rRNA". It matches the Rfam family "Bacterial small subunit ribosomal RNA", at positions 986 to 1499 of the family's 1533-position model. The record is from RNAcentral.